RNAcentral lists this ribosomal RNA (462 nucleotides) under Triticum aestivum (bread wheat). RNAcentral's name for it is "partial small subunit ribosomal RNA". Lineage: Eukaryota; Viridiplantae; Streptophyta; Magnoliopsida; Poales; Poaceae. The record is from RNAcentral.
AUGCGGCCGUAUGGCCAGGGCUGGCCUUUAGCUUUCUCCAUCUGUUGGCGUGCGAGGAGAGAGGAAGCGGCUGUUUGUUUCUGUAGCAGUACAUCUGUUCGAAAACUCAUUGGCGUGGACGAGCUCGCCUGGUCACGUUAUCACGAGCCGUCCACUCGUUCGAGGAUAUGCAUCAUACGUUGUAUUACUUGGCAUGUACGCGCCUCAUUUAAUGCCUAUUGUGGACCGGAGGAGCUGACGUUGUGCCGAUUGUGCAAACGGCAAGUAACGCCGGUUAUGGGUUGUAGACGGGCUGGGAUCGGCCACCGACUCCAUUUUACUCCACUUCGGGCUGGGAUCUGCCACCAACUCCAUUUUACUCCACUUGUCGCUCUCUCACGGCCGCUCAGUCUCUGCCAAACGAUCCCCCAAAAAUGUUCCGCGAGCAUAUUAGUCUCAAUGAGCUACUACCAUCCAGGAUAA